This 253-nucleotide ribosomal RNA is filed under the name uncultured bacterium. Its description in RNAcentral is "partial 16S ribosomal RNA". It matches the Rfam family "Bacterial small subunit ribosomal RNA", at positions 524 to 776 of the family's 1533-position model. The record is from RNAcentral.
UACGGGGGGAGCAAGCGUUGUUCGGAUUUACUGGGCGUAAAGCGCACGUAGGCGGAUUGCUAAGUCAGGGGUGAAAUCCUGGAGCUCAACUCCAGAACUGCCUUUGAUACUGGCGAUCUCGAGUCCGGGAGAGGUGAGUGGAACUGCGAGUGUAGAGGUGAAAUUCGUAGAUAUUCGCAAGAACACCAGUGGCGAAGGCGGCUCACUGGCCCGGUACUGACGCUGAGGUGCGAAAGCGUGGGGAGCAAACAGG